GAGUUUGAUCCUGGCUCAGAACGAACGCUGGCGGCGUGCCUAACACAUGCAAGUCGAACGUGAUCCAGAGCUUGCUCUGGUGAAAGUGGCGCACGGGUGAGUAACGCGUGGAUAACCUACCCUGGUAUCCGGGAUAACAUUCSGAAAGGGGUGCUAAUACCGGAUAAGCCCACGGGCUCUUUGGAGCUUGCGGGAAAAGGUGGCCUCUAUUUAUAAGCUACUGUAUCAGGAUGGGUCCGCGUACCAUUAGCUAGUUGGCGGUGUAACGGACCACCAAGGCGACGAUGGUUAGCUGGUCUGAGAGGAUGAUCAGCCACACUGGAACUGAGACACGGUCCAGACUCCUACGGGAGGCAGCAGUGGGGAAUUUUGCGCAAUGGGGGAAACCCUGACGCAGCAACGCCGCGUGAGUGAUGAAGGCCUUUGGGUCGUAAAGCUCUGUCAGAGGGGAAGAAAUGAUAUAGUGCUAAUACCACUUUAUCUUGACGGUACCCUCAAAGGAAGCACCGGCUAACUCCGUGCCAGCAGCCGCGGUAAUAC
Molecule: ribosomal RNA, 540 nt
Filed under: uncultured Geobacteraceae bacterium
Lineage: Bacteria; Pseudomonadati; Thermodesulfobacteriota; Desulfuromonadia; Geobacterales; Geobacteraceae
Description: bacterial SSU rRNA
Rfam family: Bacterial small subunit ribosomal RNA
Source: RNAcentral